GUGCCAGCCGCCGCGGUAAUACGUAGGUGGCGAGCGUUGUCCGGAAUUACUGGGCGUAAAGGGCGUGCAGGCGGCAUGGCAAGUCAGAUGUGAAAUCCCCGGGCUUAACCCGGGAGCUGCAUUUGAAACUGUCGUGCUUGAGUGCAGGAGAGGAAAGCGGAAUUCCUAGUGUAGCGGUGAAAUGCGUAGAUAUUAGGAGGAACACCAGUGGCGAAGGCGGCUUUCUGGACUGCAACUGACGCUGAGGCACGAAAGCGUGGGGAGCAAACAGGAUUAGAUACCCUGGUAGUCCACGCUGUAAACGAUGGAUACUAGGUGUGGGGGAGCUACAACCUCCGUGCCGCAGCAAACGCAAUAAGUAUCCCGCCUGGGGAGUACGGUCGCAAGGCUGAAACUCAAAGAAAUUGACGG
This 411-nucleotide ribosomal RNA is filed under the name uncultured bacterium. RNAcentral's name for it is "bacterial SSU rRNA". It matches the Rfam family "Bacterial small subunit ribosomal RNA", at positions 505 to 916 of the family's 1533-position model. The record is from RNAcentral.